Camelina sativa (false flax) is the source of this 299-nucleotide non-coding RNA. The record is from RefSeq and is a predicted model, not a curated record. NCBI's taxonomy places the organism in Eukaryota, Viridiplantae, Streptophyta, Magnoliopsida, Brassicales, Brassicaceae.
UGGCGCUUUAGGGUUUACCACCUCGCUUAUCUCUUGUUAUCAGUUGCUUCCGUCACGCCCCAAGUUCAAGACACCUUGAAGCAAGAAGAAGCUUGUUCUCUAGGCCUUCAGAAUAAUUGUUUCAUAUUUAUUUUGUAAACCUGCUGUGUUCUGGUAAUAUCAGGCUGUUGUUCCUUUCAAUGAAUUUGCUUUGCAAGAAUAAUGAUAACUCUUAAAAUAAGAUUGAGUAUGAUACUUCUUCAAGACUCUGUGUUUGUCUCUGAUGUUGAACAAUAGAUGCAUUGUCUAUGUUCACUGUU